Molecule: ribosomal RNA, 497 nt
Filed under: uncultured bacterium
Lineage: Bacteria
Description: partial 16S ribosomal RNA
Rfam family: Bacterial small subunit ribosomal RNA
Source: RNAcentral
GAUGAACGCUGGCGGCGUGCCUAAUACAUGCAAGUCGAGCGAACAGACGAGGAGCUUGCGCCUCUGACGUUAGCGGCGGACGGGUGAGUAACACGUGGAUAACCUACCUAUAAGACUGGGAUAACUUCGGGAAACCGGAGCUAAUACCGGAUAAUAUAUUGAACCGCAUGGUUCAAUAGUGAAAGACGGUUUUGCUGUCACUUAUAGAUGGAUCCGCGCCGCAUUAGCUAGUUGGGAAGGUAACGGCUUACCAAGGCAACGAUGCGUAGCCGACCUGAGAGGGUGAUAGGCCACACUGGAACUGAGACACGGUCCAGACUCCUACGGGAGGAAGCAGUAGGGAAUCUUCCGCAAUGGGCGAAAGCUUGACGGAGCAACGCCGCGUGAGUGAUGAAGGUCUUCGGAUCGUAAAACUCUGCUAUUAGGGAAGAACAACUGUGUAAGUAACUAUGCACGUCUUGACGGUACCUAAUCAGAAAGCCACGGCUAACUACGUG